RNAcentral lists this unclassified non-coding RNA (199 nucleotides) under Vermispora fusarina. RNAcentral describes it as "partial internal transcribed spacer 2". The record is from RNAcentral. Lineage: Eukaryota; Fungi; Ascomycota; Orbiliomycetes; Orbiliales.
CAAAAACCCUUCAGCAGACUUUUGUUUGUUAGGUAUUGAGCAUGGAGGAAAAGAACUUUAAGGUUCUGCUCCAGCUUUAAACUUGCUGCACGACCGCAAGCUAUUGCUAGGUCUAUGGAAGUGGUAUUUACAUAUUUUUCCAAUAAGAUUGAGCUAGCUUUGCGGCGUUAAACCAAUGUUGCCCACUAAAGCAACUGAA